AAAGGGAGACCUAAUUCAGGUAGGAGACGAGAAAAAGUAGUCCCUACCAAGAAUCAAUCCCAAAAGGUCGGAGCGAGGCAAAAUUGGCUUUCAAACUAGGUUCUGGGUUCACAUAAGACCUGAAUCAGGAACAAGGGCUAUUAGCUCAGGUGGUUAGAGCGCACCCCUGAUAAGGGUGAGGUCCCUGGUUCGAGUCCAGGAUGGCCCACCUGCACAGGUGGCAAAAACAAAGAAAAGAAGCUCCGAAUCAGCACCUUAUCUUACUCAUAUAGUAAGAGAGAAUGCUGGCUCUGAGUUCAGAGUCCAGAGGAACCUUGAAAACUGCAUAGAGCUAGGUGAAAAAGCCAAAAAAGAAGACCGCAAG
Molecule: transfer RNA, 364 nt
Filed under: uncultured Microcystis sp.
Lineage: Bacteria; Bacillati; Cyanobacteriota; Cyanophyceae; Chroococcales; Microcystaceae
Description: partial 16S-23S ribosomal RNA intergenic spacer
Rfam family: tRNA (bases 135-208)
Source: RNAcentral